This 124-nucleotide microRNA precursor is filed under the name Brassica oleracea var. oleracea. Its description in RNAcentral is "MIR9563 microRNA precursor family". It matches the Rfam family "MIR9563 microRNA precursor family". The record is from Rfam by way of RNAcentral. Lineage: Eukaryota; Viridiplantae; Streptophyta; Magnoliopsida; Brassicales; Brassicaceae.
GGAAGUUAAAAAACUGUUUUUUAAUUUUUAACUAAAAAGUUAAGAACCGGUUCUUAAAUAAAGACUUUAAGAACCGUUCAUUAACUUUUUUAGUUAAAAGUUAAGAAACAGUUUUUUAAUUUCC